RNAcentral lists this small nuclear RNA (254 nucleotides) under Erinaceus europaeus (western European hedgehog). RNAcentral describes it as "7SK RNA". It matches the Rfam family "7SK RNA". Rfam says of the family: 7SK was discovered as an abundant small nuclear RNA in the mid-70s but a possible function has only recently been suggested. Lineage: Eukaryota; Metazoa; Chordata; Mammalia; Eulipotyphla; Erinaceidae. The record is from Rfam by way of RNAcentral.
GGAUGUGAGGGUGAUCUGGCUGGUUAAGUGGGUGUUCCCUUUCUCCUUUAUUGCUCCAUGUGUGUCCCUCCAGAAGCUGUGAGCUUUGUCCAAGAGGUCAGCCUUCCCAGAACAAAGACAAACCAGGACUGGUCUUUGGGUAUAUGAGCAGCUGCACUUCCCUGCAAGAACCUCCAAACAAGAAAUGACUUUGGCAUGAGGGAGCUUCACAAGUGGUGAAGCAAGGUACUACAGGUGUUUCUUUGUGUCACUCU